Molecule: transfer RNA, 71 nt
Filed under: Trichechus manatus latirostris (Florida manatee)
Lineage: Eukaryota; Metazoa; Chordata; Mammalia; Sirenia; Trichechidae
Description: tRNA-Gly (TCC) (tRNA-Gly-TCC-24-1)
Rfam family: tRNA
About the family: Transfer RNA (tRNA) molecules are approximately 80 nucleotides in length. Their secondary structure includes four short double-helical elements and three loops (D, anti-codon, and T loops).
Source: Rfam by way of RNAcentral
GCAGUGGUGGUUCAGUGGUAGAAUUCUCACCUUCCACGCGGGAGACCCAGGUUCGAUUCCUGGCCAGUGCA